This 406-nucleotide long non-coding RNA is filed under the name Fukomys damarensis (Damara mole-rat). RNAcentral describes it as "lncRNA (ENSFDAG00000026081.1)". Lineage: Eukaryota; Metazoa; Chordata; Mammalia; Rodentia; Bathyergidae. The record is from RNAcentral.
GUUUCAUUUGCUAUAAGAAUCUUUAGGCUCUGUCUUUCUUCUUUAAAUACAAGACUGCAUCCAUCACCAGGAACCACUAAGUUAUGCAUUUCUUUUUUUCUAGUUGUAAAACUCCUAAAUUCUUCCUCUGAAGUUGUCGACUUGGGAUUAAUAAUAAUAAUAAUAAAAAAACCCUCUCCUUUCCUCUCUCCACCAGAUAGUGGUAGCUAAACCUACUCAGGAAGAAAGAAAUGCUGUUCAUGCAGGGUGGACCCCUUUGAUCUCAGCAACUUCUAAGAACCUCCAUUCCUCAUGCUGUGGCUCCUGCUACUUCUCUCAAGGAAACUUCAAACCCAGAGCCAUCAAGCUGGCCUUUCUCCUCAGUAGUAAGAUGACAGCUCCACUCCCUUGGCAGAUUUGGCACUGA